This 586-nucleotide ribosomal RNA is filed under the name uncultured bacterium. Its description in RNAcentral is "partial 16S ribosomal RNA". It matches the Rfam family "Bacterial small subunit ribosomal RNA", at positions 355 to 1375 of the family's 1533-position model. The record is from RNAcentral.
UGGGGAAUUUUGGACAAUGGGCGAAAGCCUGAUCCAGCAAUGCCGCGUGUGUGAAGAAGGCCUUCGGGUUGUAAAGCACUUUUGUCCGGAAAGAAAUCCUUGGCUCUAAUACAGUCGGGGGAUGACGGUACCGGAAGAAUAAGCACCGGCUAACUACGUGCCAGCAGCCGCGGUAAUACGUAGGGUGCAAGCGUUAAUCGGAAUUACUGGGCGUAAAGCGUGCGCAGGCGGUUUGCUAAGACCGAUGUGAAAUCCCCGGGCUCAACCUGGGAACUGCAUUGGUGACUGGCAGGCUAGAGUAUGGCAGAGGGGGGUAGAAUUCCACGUGUAGCAGUGAAAUGCGUAGAGAUGUGGAGGAAUACCGAUGGCGAAGGCAGCCCCCUGGGCCAAAUACUGACGCUCAUGCACGAAAGCGUGGGGAGCAAACAGGAUUAGAUACCCUGGUAGUCCACGCCCUAAAACGAUGUCAACUAGUUGUUGGGGAUUCAUUCCUUAGUAACGUAGCUAACGCGUGAAGUUGACCGCCUGGGGAGUACGGUCGCAAGAUUAAAACUCAAAGGAAUUGACGGGGUCAUAGCUGUUUCCU